RNAcentral lists this ribosomal RNA (1430 nucleotides) under Oceanobacillus sp. RNAcentral's name for it is "bacterial SSU rRNA". It matches the Rfam family "Bacterial small subunit ribosomal RNA". Lineage: Bacteria; Bacillati; Bacillota; Bacilli; Caryophanales; Bacillaceae. The record is from RNAcentral.
CUGGCUCAGGACGAACGCUGGCGGCGUGCCUAAUACAUGCAAGUCGAGCGCGGGAAGCGAACGGAACUCUUCGGAGGGAAGUUCGUGGAACGAGCGGCGGACGGGUGAGUAACACGUAGGCAACCUGCCUGUAAGACUGGGAUAACUCGCGGAAACGCGAGCUAAUACCGGAUAACACUUUCUAUCACCUGAUGGAAAGUUGAAAGGCGGCUUUUGCUGUCACUUACAGAUGGGCCUGCGGCGCAUUAGCUAGUUGGUGAGGUAACGGCUCACCAAGGCGACGAUGCGUAGCCGACCUGAGAGGGUGAUCGGCCACACUGGGACUGAGACACGGCCCAGACUCCUACAGGAGGCAGCAACCGUGAAUCUUCCGCAGUGCACGAGAGUCUGACGGAGCAGCGCCGCGUGAGUGAUGAAGGUUUUCACAUCAUAAGACUCUGUUGCUCAGGAAGAACAACUAUGAUGUUAACUCAACGUACCUUGACCGUACCUAACCCGAAAGCCACGGCUAGGUACGUGCCAGCAGCCGCUGGAAUAAGUAGGUGUCAAGCGUUGUCCGGAAUUAUUGGGCGUAAAGCGCUCGCAGGCGGUUCUUUAAGUCUGAUGUGAAAUCUUACGGCUCAACCGUAAACGUGCAUUGGAAACUGGGGAACUUGAGUGCAGAAGAGGAGAGUGGAAUUCCACGUGUAGCGGUGAAAUGCGUAGAGAUGUGGAGGAACACCAGUGGCGAAGGGGGACUCUCUGGUUCUGUAACCGACGCCUGAGGAGCGAAAAGCGUGGGGAGAGAACAGGACUAAGAUACCCUGGUAGUCCCACGCCGUAAACGAUGAGUGCUAGGUGUUAGGGGGUUUCCGCCCCCUUAGUGCUGAAGUUAACGCAUUAAGCACUCUGCGUGGGGAGUACGGCCGCAAGGGUGAAACUCAAAAGAGUUGACGGGGACCCGCACAAGCGGUGGAGCAUGUGGUUUAAUUUGAAGCAACGCGAAGAACCUUACCAGGUCUUGACAUCUUUUGAGCCCUCUAGAGAUAGAGUUUUCCCUUCGGGGACAAAGUGACAGGUGGUGCAUGGUUGUCGUCAGCUCGUGUCGUGAGAUGUUGGGUUAAGUCCCGCAACGAGCGCAACCCUUAAUAUUAGUUGCCAGCAUUCAGUUGGGCACUCUAAGGUGACUGCCGGUGACAAACCGGAGGAAGGUGGGGAGGACGUCAAAUCAUCAUGCCCCUUAUGACCUGGGGUACACACGUGCUACAAUGGACGGAACAAAGGGAAGAGAACCCGCGAGGUCCAGCAAAUCCCAUAAAACCGUUCUCAGUUCGGAUUGCAGGGUGCAACUCGCGUGCAUGAAGCGGGAAUCGCUAGUAAUCGCGGAUCAGCAUGCCGCGGUGAAUACGUUCCCGGGUCUUGUACACACCGCCCGUCACACCACGAGAGUU